This 382-nucleotide ribosomal RNA is filed under the name uncultured bacterium. Its description in RNAcentral is "bacterial SSU rRNA". It matches the Rfam family "Bacterial small subunit ribosomal RNA", at positions 28 to 412 of the family's 1533-position model. The record is from RNAcentral.
GAUGAACGUUGGCGGCGUGCCUAACACAUGCAAGUCGAACGGGAAGUACCUUUCGAGGUACGGAGAGUGGCGCACGGGUGAGUAACACGUAACUGAUCUGCCCUAGAGAGUGGGAUAACUAUUGGAAACAGUAGCUAAAACCGCAUAAGCUCACACUUUUUAGAAAGGUGUGAGAAAAACUCCGGUGCUCUAGGAUGAGGUUGCGUCCCAUCAGCUAGUUGGUAAGGUAAAGGCUUACCAAGGCGACGACGGGUAGGGGACCUGAGAGGGUGACCCCCCACACUGGAACUGAGACACGGUCCAGACUCCUACGGGAGGCAGCAGUGAGGAAUAUUGCACAAUGGACGAAAGUCUGAUGCAGCGACGCCGCGUGGGCGAAGAA